AGAGUUUGAUCAUGGCUCAGGAUGAACGCUAGCGGCAGGCUUAACACAUGCAAGUCGAGGGGCAGCAUAAUGGAUAGCAAUAUCUAUGGUGGCGACCGGCGCACGGGUGCGUAACGCGUAUGCAACCUACCUUUAACAGGGGGAUAACACUGAGAAAUUGGUACUAAUACCCCAUAAUAUCAUAGAAGGCAUCUUUUAUGGUUGAAAAUUCCGAUGGUUAGAGAUGGGCAUGCGUUGUAUUAGCUAGUUGGUGGGGUAACGGCUCACCAAGGCGACGAUACAUAGGGGACGUGGAGAGGUUAACCCCCCACACUGGUACUGAGACACGGACCAGACUUCUACGGGAGGCA
This 350-nucleotide ribosomal RNA is filed under the name uncultured bacterium. RNAcentral describes it as "bacterial SSU rRNA". It matches the Rfam family "Bacterial small subunit ribosomal RNA", at positions 8 to 350 of the family's 1533-position model. The record is from RNAcentral.